UACGUAGGUGGCAAGCGUUGUCCGGAAUUAUUGGGCGUAAAGGGCUCGCAGGCGGUUCCUUAAGUCUGAUGUGAAAGCCCCCGGCUCAACCGGGGAGGGUCAUUGGAAACUGGGGAACUUGAGUGCAGAAGAGGAGAGUGGAAUUCCACGUGUAGCGGUGAAAUGCGUAGAGAUGUGGAGGAACACCAGUGGCGAAGGCGACUCUCUGGUCUGUAACUGACGCUGAGGAGCGAAAGCGUGGGGAGCGA
RNAcentral lists this ribosomal RNA (248 nucleotides) under uncultured Bacillus sp. Its description in RNAcentral is "partial 16S ribosomal RNA". It matches the Rfam family "Bacterial small subunit ribosomal RNA", at positions 524 to 771 of the family's 1533-position model. The record is from RNAcentral. Lineage: Bacteria; Bacillati; Bacillota; Bacilli; Caryophanales; Bacillaceae.